Molecule: non-coding RNA, 93 nt
Filed under: unclassified sequences
Source: RNAcentral
UUUUCUUUAUCGCCGGAUAAGGAAAUUAUAAAAGCGUUCGGAUUUCAUACUGUAGGCCUUUGAAGGUAUGAAAUAUCCGGACGCUUUUUAUUU